CAGUCGCCGCGGUAACACGUAGGGUGCAAGCGUUAAUCGGAAUUACUGGGCGUAAAGCGUGCGCAGGCGGUUAUAUAAGACAGAUGUGAAAUCCCCGGGCUCAACCUGGGAACUGCAUUUGUGACUGUAUAGCUAGAGUACGGCAGAGGGGGAUGGAAUUCCGCGUGUAGCAGUGAAAUGCGUAGAUAUGCGGAGGAACACCGAUGGCGAAGGCAAUCCCCUGGGCCUGUACUGACGCUCAUGCACGAAAGCGUGGGGAGCAAACAGGAUUAGAGACCCCAGUAGUCCCUGUCUCUUAUAC
This 301-nucleotide ribosomal RNA is filed under the name uncultured bacterium. RNAcentral's name for it is "partial 16S ribosomal RNA". It matches the Rfam family "Bacterial small subunit ribosomal RNA", at positions 509 to 807 of the family's 1533-position model. The record is from RNAcentral.